This 495-nucleotide ribosomal RNA is filed under the name uncultured bacterium. RNAcentral describes it as "partial 16S ribosomal RNA". It matches the Rfam family "Bacterial small subunit ribosomal RNA", at positions 28 to 507 of the family's 1533-position model. The record is from RNAcentral.
GACGAACGCUGGCGGCGUGCCUAAUACAUGCAAGUAGAACGCUGAAGGAGGAGCUUGCUUCUCUGGAUGAGUUGCGAACGGGUGAGUAACGCGUAGGUAACCUGCCUGGUAGCGGGGGAUAACUAUUGGAAACGAUAGCUAAUACCGCAUAAUAGUAGAUGUUGCAUGACAUUUGCCUAAAAGGUGCAAUUGCAUCACUACCAGAUGGACCUGCGUUGUAUUAGCUAGUUGGUGGGGUAACGGCUCACCAAGGCGACGAUACAUAGCCGACCUGAGAGGGUGGUCGGCCACACUGGGACUGAGACACGGCCCAGACUCCUACGGGAGGCAGCAGUAGGGAAUCUUCGGCAAUGGACGGAAGUCUGACCGAGCAACGCCGCGUGAGUGAAGAAGGUUUUCGGAUCGUAAAGCUCUGUUGUAAGAGAAGAACGAGUGUGAGAGUGGAAAGUUCACACUGUGACGGUAUCUUACCAGAAAGGGACGGCUAACUACGUG